Molecule: non-coding RNA, 303 nt
Organism: Coturnix japonica (Japanese quail)
Lineage: Eukaryota; Metazoa; Chordata; Aves; Galliformes; Phasianidae
Source: RefSeq, a predicted model, not a curated record
GUCCCAAUUCUGGUACUUAAAGAUGGCCUCAGACUAUUUCUGCCUGUAAAGUAGCACAUAAUCUGCUAGUCCAAAGGCAAGAAAUACCCCAGUCUAGAAAUCUUUUCUACCUGCACAUGGUUGGAAAGUGGAAACCGCAAUUCAGGAAUAGACUGCUAAUUAGAAGAAUAACAAUGAAGUUAAUCUCACAGCCUAGGAGCAGAGAUGCCCCUAAAGACAUCUGGAUGGGGUGACACCUGAUGGCAGGAAACACAACCAGAGAACCUACUCCAGCGUGGUGACUAACGUGGAAGGAGAUUCUAC